CGGGAUUGAAAAGGACUGGGCUCUGUCACCUGAAUGAGACGCCCGCCUCUCCCGACCCGUAUUUAAUAGCAACAACAACAACACAGCCACGUGGUCUAAAAAUAAUGUAAUACAUUUUCAUCCCGUGCCGUAACGGGACAUUACGUGUGUAUUGCACAUGCGUGUCGGGAGGAAGGAGCACACGGUCCAGUUUCCCCCCCCUCUGUCUUAGGGGUAAGAAGGAUCUUUCUUCUACUUUCUUUGCUUUCGAGAGACUUAAGUGACCGCGCACCGCAGCCUAGUUUGGGGGCUACUCAGGGGUUAAAAUCAAAGCGAAGGGCCCUGUAUACUUGGAACUGUCGCGCUCAGAGUCAAAGUGGGAAAAGAGCCUUGGGCAGAAGGAAAUUACAGCGGGCUUGCGUGACCUUUCCGAGAGGUAAUCAAUCAAGUGAUCAACUGGGAUAUUUAUCAUUUCUCGAUGGGGCUACUUUACAAAUGCAGAAGGAAGGGGUCGCGGAUUGGGGACAGAAAGGAGCGAGGCGCAGGGAGAAAAUAGGCGGAAAGGUUUUAUAUAUGUAUGUGAAGAAAGAACGGAAGAAAAAGUUAGAAUAAACCUUUAAAAAACCCUGCAGACGGCUAAGGAGAAUUUAAUCAGUGGAAAAAAAGGAGCGCACAGCAGCGUUCCUCGUCCCCCCUUCCCUGCACUCUGGUGUUCACACACACACACACACACACACACACACACACAUAUUCUGGAACUCCCGCAGUUCUGCAACCCGCCCGGCAUAUGUGUGAAUUGCUGGACACGUGCGCCGGCAAAGCAACAGACGGGCCUCGGAAAGGUUCUAAAGAGCGGCAGGC
Molecule: long non-coding RNA, 840 nt
Filed under: Salvator merianae (Argentine black and white tegu)
Lineage: Eukaryota; Metazoa; Chordata; Lepidosauria; Squamata; Teiidae
Description: lncRNA (ENSSMRG00000023668.1)
Source: RNAcentral